This 266-nucleotide ribosomal RNA is filed under the name uncultured bacterium. RNAcentral's name for it is "partial 16S ribosomal RNA". It matches the Rfam family "Bacterial small subunit ribosomal RNA", at positions 88 to 354 of the family's 1533-position model. The record is from RNAcentral.
UAGUUUAGUGGCGGACGGGUGAGUAACACGUGAGCAACCUGCCUUCGAGAGGGGAAUAACGGCUGGAAACGGUCGCUAAUACCGCAUAAUGUACGGAUGGGACAUCCUGUCAGUACCAAAGAUUUAUCGCUCGAAGAUGGGCUCGCGUCCGAUUAGGUAGUUGGUGGGGUAACGGCCCACCAAGCCGACGAUCGGUAGCCGGACUGAGAGGUUGAACGGCCACAUUGGGACUGAGACACGGCCCAGACUCCUACGGAAGGCAGCAG